ACGCUGGCGGCGUGCCUAACACAUGCAACUCGAGCGGGCCUGUCAAGGCGUUAUGUUUUGGCAGGUUUAGCGGCGGACGGGUGAGUAACGCGUGAGCAACNUACCCUUAAGACAGGGAUAACCCUGGGAAACCGGGGCUAAUACCUGAUAUACUCUAUUAGGGCAUCCUGAUGGAGGAAAGGGCGGGAAGCCGCUCAAGGAUGGGCUCGCGUCCCAUCAGCUAGUUGGUGAGGUAACGGCUCACCAAGGCGACGACGGGUAGCCGGCCUGAGAGGGUGGUCGGCCACACUGGGACUGAGACACGGCCCAGACUCCUACGGGAGGCAGCAGUGGGGAAUCUUCCGCAAUGGGCGAAAGCCUGACGGAGCGACGCCGCGUGAGCGAGGAAGGCCUUCGGGUCGUAAAGCUCGAUAGUGUGGGAAGAAGGGAUGACGGUACCACACGAAAGCCCCGGCUAACU
This 460-nucleotide ribosomal RNA is filed under the name uncultured bacterium. Its description in RNAcentral is "bacterial SSU rRNA". It matches the Rfam family "Bacterial small subunit ribosomal RNA", at positions 33 to 502 of the family's 1533-position model. The record is from RNAcentral.